Molecule: ribosomal RNA, 510 nt
Filed under: uncultured bacterium
Lineage: Bacteria
Description: partial 16S ribosomal RNA
Rfam family: Bacterial small subunit ribosomal RNA
Source: RNAcentral
GACGAACGCUGGCGGCGUGCUUAACACAUGCGAGUCGAACGAAGAGCGAUGGAAGCUUGCUUCUAUCAAUCUUAGUGGCGAACGGGUGAGUAACGCGUAAUCAACCUGCCCUUCAGAGGGGGACAACAGUUGGAAACGACUGCUAAUACCGCAUACGAUCUAAUCUCGGCAUCGAGGAUAGAUGAAAGGUGGCCUCUACAUGUAAGCUAUCACUGAAGGAGGGGAUUGCGUCUGAUUAGCUAGUUGGAGGGGUAACGGCCCACCAAGGCGAUGAUCAGUAGCCGGUCUGAGAGGAUGAACGGCCACAUUGGGACUGAGACACGGCCCAGACUCCUACGGGAGGCAGCAGUGGGGAAUCUUCCGCAAUGGACGAAAGUCUGACGGAGCAACGCCGCGUGAGUGAUGACGGCCUUCGGGUUGUAAAGCUCUGUUAAUCGGGACGAAAGGCCUUCUUGCGAAUAGUGAGAAGGAUUGACGGUACCGGAAUAGAAAGCCACGGCUAACUACGUG